CUGGCCCAGGGAGGUCGGCAACGACCACCCAGGGCCGGAAAGUCGGUCAAACUCGGUCAUUUAGAGGAAGUAAAAGUCGUAACAAGGUCUCCGUAGGUGAACCUGCGGAGGGAUCAUUA
This 119-nucleotide ribosomal RNA is filed under the name Cercosporella virgaureae. RNAcentral's name for it is "partial 18S ribosomal RNA". It matches the Rfam family "Eukaryotic small subunit ribosomal RNA", at positions 1715 to 1831 of the family's 1831-position model. The record is from RNAcentral. Lineage: Eukaryota; Fungi; Ascomycota; Dothideomycetes; Mycosphaerellales; Mycosphaerellaceae.